This is a non-coding RNA of Agelaius phoeniceus (red-winged blackbird), 1584 nucleotides long. Lineage: Eukaryota; Metazoa; Chordata; Aves; Passeriformes; Icteridae. The record is from RefSeq and is a predicted model, not a curated record.
CCACACGCGGCUCCCGCUCCCCGCCCGCCCCGGCGGGGCCCGAGCGCCCAACCCCGCCCGCCCCUUCCGGAGCCCCCGCUCCGGGCCGCCCCCCGGCCCCCUCACCUGCGCUUCCAGCGGGCCCGGAGCUCCCUGUCCCGCGCCGGGGGGCCCCUGGCCCUGGGCCGGCCCCGCCUGGCCGGGCCCGGGCGGGGUCUGGGUCUGGCUGGGGAGGGUGAAGUCGGUGAACUCGAACUCGGAGCCCUGCGUGUCGGCGCCGAGCAGCUCGGCCUCCUCGGUGUCCAGGAAGGGUUAAAUCCAUAGGGAAAAAAUUGGGAAUGAGCUGGGCCAUUCUCCUGAGCCACCACGAGAGGGACACAGAGGGAAAGCAAAAGGAGCUGGGAGAGGAAGAAUCCAAGGAACGGCUCAAGGUUUAAUUGGGGAUGAAUAUUCCCAGAACAAGUCAUGGGGAUGUAGGAAAUGGAGGAGAAGAUUUUGGGCAAAAUCCAGGGAUUUUGAAUGAAGAAAGUUCUCAGAAAUGAAUGGAUGAGGGCAGAGCAAAAGUCCUGGAAUGGAUGUGGACGAGACAUCCCAGUUUUAGGCCACCCUUCCUGGCUCCAGAUGAGAGCAUGGCUUUGCUGGAAGAGGGGAUUGCAAAAGGGGAUGUGAGGGAGGUCUGGAGCAGUAAUUUUAAACAGCACUUCAGCCAUGAUGUCAUUUCAGCUGAAAAAUAAUGUUCAAAAAUAAUGUUCAAGUUUGGGUAAGCAGAGCCCGGGGCCAGCAGCCGGGGGGGGAGGAACUGCAGCAAAAUGGAAAGUCCAAGAAGUGGAAGGUCAUGGUGGAAAACCAAAUCAGAAUAACCUCGAAAAAAGGUGGAUGAAAACCCUGGAAUUUUCAGUGAGCAGGAGGAUUCCAAGGAAAUGGAGGGGAGGAAGAUGUUCAAACCCUGGACAGGGCUUUCACUCCCCUGUCUGGAAGUCAGAAGCCAAAUCCUGGAGCACAGGAACAGCCUGAAGGAUUGUUGUGACCCCAGGCUGAGAUCCCAGAGUGAUCCCAGAUCUUCUGCUGGGAUUUAACCCAAAUCCAGCCAAAAGCUGCAUCCACUCCUUGCCUGGAGAGGCCAAAAGGCUGAAACAACGCAGGGACGUUGUUCCAGUGGGCUGGUGGUUUGUCCAGUGUCAUUGCAGAGGUGGCACUGUCACCCUCCAACCACUGUCACUCUUGGAAAUCUAUAAAUGUUAUCUAUAAAUCUCUAAAUGUUGGAGUCAGAAAUUAAAAAUUCUCUUUUACCUUGUGAGAGCUGCGUGUCCAUGUUGUGCUGCUGUGGCCUGCAGGCUCAGGGGAUCACAGCUGGAGCAGCCCUGCCCUCGGUGCCACCCCCAGGAAAACCUCUCUGCACAGGAAGCGUCCAGCAGGCACCCAGAGCCUGCCCAGGGUGUUUAGGAGCAGAGGAAAGGAUGAAGAGGAGCAGCCCUGCUCUGUUUCACUGUUUACAUCACCUCCAAAAAGAAGCAGCUGAACUGUGAUUCCCCCGAGGCAGCUCCCAAGGAAUUUACCCAACAAUCCAAGGAAAAAAACCUUUUUUUUUUCUUUUUUCUUUUUUUU